RNAcentral lists this transfer RNA (78 nucleotides) under Acidimicrobiaceae bacterium. Its description in RNAcentral is "tRNA-Asp". It matches the Rfam family "tRNA". Rfam says of the family: Transfer RNA (tRNA) molecules are approximately 80 nucleotides in length. The record is from RNAcentral. RNAcentral also lists the same sequence under 2 other names. Lineage: Bacteria; Bacillati; Actinomycetota; Acidimicrobiia; Acidimicrobiales; Acidimicrobiaceae.
GGUCCUGUGGUGCAGUUUGGAGUGCACGCUGGCCUGUCAAGCCAGAGGUCGCGGGUUCAAAUCCCGUCAGGACCGCCA